This 253-nucleotide ribosomal RNA is filed under the name Rhodospirillales bacterium. RNAcentral's name for it is "partial 16S ribosomal RNA". It matches the Rfam family "Bacterial small subunit ribosomal RNA", at positions 524 to 776 of the family's 1533-position model. The record is from RNAcentral. Lineage: Bacteria; Pseudomonadati; Pseudomonadota; Alphaproteobacteria; Rhodospirillales. RNAcentral also lists the same sequence under 1 other name.
UACGAAGGGGGCUAGCGUUGUUCGGAAUUACUGGGCGUAAAGGGCGCGUAGGCGGUCCUGAUCGUCGGAUGUGAAAGGCCUGGGCUCAACCUGGGAAUGGCAUCCGAUACGGCGGGACUGGAGUGUGGGAGAGGUUGGUGGAAUUCCCAGUGUAGAGGUGAAAUUCGUAGAUAUUGGGAAGAACACCGGUGGCGAAGGCGGCCAACUGGACCACAACUGACGCUGAGGCGCGAAAGCGUGGGGAGCAAACAGG